CCAACGUGGACAUCCUGUGAGAUGCCUCUCACAUGGCUCUGUCCUUGUGGCUUAUGGGAGCGUAGCACUUCGCUGUGACGUACAGUCCCGUUCCACGACGUUGGAGAGCAAGCUCAGUCCCCGGUCCUUGGGCUGGUGAGGACGAGCGUCAUGUAUAUUCCUAUAUCUUCCCAGAGUCUUCCAGGCCAUUACUGGGGAGCUAAACCAUACAGUGCACAGUU
Molecule: small nucleolar RNA, 221 nt
Organism: Lampris incognitus (smalleye Pacific opah)
Lineage: Eukaryota; Metazoa; Chordata; Actinopteri; Lampriformes; Lampridae
Product: small nucleolar RNA SNORA73 family
Exons: 1
Source: RefSeq, a predicted model, not a curated record